GCCGGAAUAGCUCAGUUGGGAGAGCGUUGGACUUAAGAUCUAAAGGCCCCCGGUUCAAUACCGGGUUCCGACA
Molecule: non-coding RNA, 73 nt
Organism: Dreissena polymorpha
Lineage: Eukaryota; Metazoa; Mollusca; Bivalvia; Myida; Dreissenidae
Source: the annotation of a RefSeq genome assembly